UACGUAGGGUGCGAGCGUUACUCGGAAUUACUGGGCGUAAAGCGUGCGCAGGCGGUUUUGUAAGCCAGAUGUGAAAUCCCCGGGCUCAACCUGGGAAUGGCAUUUGGGACUGCAAGGCUGGAGUACGGCAGAGGAGACUGGAAUUCCUGGUGUAGCAGUGAAAUGCGUAGAUAUCAGGAGGAAUACCGAUGGCGAAGGCAGGUCUCUGGGCUGAUACUGACGCUCAUGCACGAAAGCGUGGGGAGCAAACAGG
RNAcentral lists this ribosomal RNA (253 nucleotides) under uncultured bacterium. RNAcentral's name for it is "partial 16S ribosomal RNA". It matches the Rfam family "Bacterial small subunit ribosomal RNA", at positions 524 to 776 of the family's 1533-position model. The record is from RNAcentral.